Molecule: ribosomal RNA, 253 nt
Filed under: uncultured bacterium
Lineage: Bacteria
Description: partial 16S ribosomal RNA
Rfam family: Bacterial small subunit ribosomal RNA
Source: RNAcentral
UACAUGUGGGGCAAGCGUUGUUCGGAAUUACUGGGCAUAAAGGGUGCGUAGGCGGUUUGGUAAGUCGAGGGUGAAAUCCGGUGGCCCAACCAUCGAACUGCCCUUGAUACUGCUGGACUUGAGUGCGUGAGGGGAGACUGGAACGAGUGGUGUAGCGGUGAAAUGCGUAGAUAUCACUCGGAACGCCAACGGCGAAGGCAGGUCUCUGGUACGCAACUGACGCUGAGGCACGAAAGCGUGGGGAGCAAACAGG